Molecule: ribosomal RNA, 492 nt
Filed under: uncultured bacterium
Lineage: Bacteria
Description: partial 16S ribosomal RNA
Rfam family: Bacterial small subunit ribosomal RNA
Source: RNAcentral
AGUGAACGCUGGCGGUAGGCCUAACACAUGCAAGUCGAACGGCAGCACAGUAAGAGCUUGCUCUUACGGGUGGCGAGUGGCGGACGGGUGAGGAAUACAUCGGAAUCUACUUUUUCGUGGGGGAUAACGUAGGGAAACUUACGCUAAUACCGCAUACGACCUACGGGUGAAAGCAGGGGAUCUUCGGACCUUGCGCGAUUGAAUUAGCCGAUGUCGGAUUAGCUAGUUGGCGGGGUAAAGGCCCACCAAGGCGACGAUCCGUAGCUGGUCUGAGAGGAUGAUCAGCCACACUGGAACUGAGACACGGUCCAGACUCCUAAGGGAGGCAGCAGUGGGGAAUAUUGGACAAUGGGCGCAAGCCUGAUCCAGCCAUACCGCGUGGGUGAAGAAGGCCUUCGGGUUGUAAAGCCCUUUUGUUGGGAAAGAAAAGCAGCAGGUUAAUACCCCGCUGUUCUGACGGUACCCAAAGAAUAAGCACCGGCUAACUUCGUG